Molecule: long non-coding RNA, 1972 nt
Organism: Xenopus tropicalis (tropical clawed frog)
Lineage: Eukaryota; Metazoa; Chordata; Amphibia; Anura; Pipidae
Exons: 5
Source: RefSeq, a predicted model, not a curated record
UACGUUCCUACACUUCUAAGAGGAAACACCUGUGCAGCCUUCCCACAGCUCCCAUGGUUCUCUUUUUACCACUCUGAACUUUGGAAAUAAAAAUGCCCAAUCUGUUCAUUAAGGCUUUCUUUAUCCUGAACCUCACCUUUAAAGAAGGUUUUUUGUCCAUUAGCAGUAAGUAUUGUCCUUCCGAUCAAAAAUAAUCCCAUAGACCGUCUAUGGAGGACCUCUUUGUUAUGUGAGGCCUGCAGAGACCUGGCUAGUGCCGUCAGCUUUAGACUGAAGUUUGUUUUGGCUUUUUGUCUUGGAAAGGUAUGUGCGUGAGCGUGCGUUUUGACUUUAAAAUGUGAUAUUUUGAAAAGUUAAUGUUUUUCAUGACUUCAUUUGUCCGUGGCAGGAUUUAUAUUGUAUUGCAAAAAACCUCCAACUCCUGGAUGUGUGUUUUUUUUAAAGUUGCAGAAAAAAAAUAAGAUUGACAGGUGAAAGAGACAUUAAAAAAACCAUAGAACAAUCUCAUAAAAUAUUUAUUAUUCCAAGCCCAAAAUAAUUUAGAGUAGCCUAGUGUAAGUAUCUUCGAUUCAAGGGACGUUUGGAACCAUGCCUAUCAAACAAAAGCAAAUGAAGAGAAAAUAGGAUCAAAAAAGAUUCAUAAACGUAGAAAGUCAUUUAAAAAUCAAUUAAAGAAACUGCGUGGGGAGGGAUGACAAAAUAUAUUUACAUUUUCUUAAUUAGCUAAGUAGGAGAUUUCAUAUUGGAGCAAAUAAGACAUGAUGUAGAAUUAAGAAGCACUAAACAUAAAACAAUCUAAUUUAAAAGAAAAAUAAUAUGGUAUGUAGCAGAAUGGGUAAGCAGGGAAAUGCAACAGGAUUAUUCUGCGAAAGUGUCCCUCGGCAUGAUAUGGAAGGACCCGGAGCCCAUGAUACCAGCCACAAAGUCAGGUUCUGCACCAACAAUCUGACUUGAAGAUGCACAGCUUUCAUAAAUCUAAAUGGAGUGCAAUCAUUUUCUCCUCCCGGACCAGUUUAGUUCUACUAAGAUCUUACUAUGGCUGUACGUUGCGCUCAGAAGGAGCUCUUUGUAGCUCCAAAAUGCCAGUUUUUAAGAAAUUGCUUUUCAGACAUUGCAGAGGCGCCUGAAGCUUUGCGUCUGGGAUGCAGAAGUGCUACCCUCACCGGCUUGGUAAGUCUGCUCUUUCUAUUCACUUCAUUGGAAUCUCCACACAAUGAUCUCUUGAUCCUGAUAGACAUUAUGACAUUUUGGAUAACCCAGUAGUUAAUAUAUGAAUAUGAAUGUAUCUGAAUAUACAUAGAACUCCCAACGAGUAUCUGUGAGAUGACAUUCGUACAUAUACUCUAUAAUGGAAAUUCUUAUACUUUUAAACUUUUAUACCCUUUCAAGCACAAUGUCUGGCAGCAUAGUCCCCAUCUGCACUCCUCGUGGAAACCUUAUAUGGGAACAUUUCAAGCAAGAAUUUCCAAGAGCAGAAGCUUGCUGGAUUGUUGUAAAGAGGAAAAAAAGCAGAUCUAAUCAGAUGGAUAAAGUCUCCAAUGUUCAUAAGUGGUGUUAACACUGGAAGAGGAGGAAACUUUCCAGGCAGAACCCAAUCAGGACAGAAAUGUUAAUUGUUCCUACCAGGAUAUAAAGAGGCCCCAAUGUUUUCCAAGAAGAUAUAAAAAGCAGCAUCACAAGGCAGUGGGUUUGAUGCUUUCUCCUCAGUGCAACACAAGCAGGCAGCAGAUUUCCUACAAGAUGCAGUGUGAUGGAACUAAAUGGAAAUAUAAAAAGCUGUGUACAUUACCAACCUAUCAUACACAAAUAAUAAACGUGUAUAAAUCCUUCUGUCUUUUUCUUUUCAUUCAUCCUGUACCAUGUAUUUUAACAAAUAAAAUGAAAAACUUAAACCCAUAAUAACCAGAUACUAGACAGCAAGUACAAUACAGGUGUAUACUAGACAUUUUCCUAUGGCACCUUAAAGAAUAAG